UUGAUAUAUUUCCACAAUGUCAACUGAGAUCGUUUUUUAACAUGCAUCGACGAGAUUGAUCUACAACAGCAGUUUAACAAUAUCAUCUUCCGAAACGUGAUAUAUUAGUCAAUAUUAGGAUAACGUGGAUUAGAUGUAACGGAAAGACCAAAGCCAUCAUUGAAAACGUUACCCGGUGUAGGUGCUUAUAUGGACAACUGGCGAACACCGCUUUAUAACUUUGGUACCAAUGAACAUGACUUACAAAAUUUAAUUUCAAGAAAUGAACAUUUACAGAACAUUAAUCCUGCAGAUUUUGAAGAAAAUAGUCGUACAACGGAUGAAAUUCUUAGGAUAGUGAUGCAAGGAAUACGUAGAUUUGCAGGAGAGCAGUUUGAAGGGUUGGUUCUUCACGAUCAGCUGAUAAAAUUUGGUAGUUCAAGAGAAGGGCUGAAAGUCAUCGAUGCUCUAGAAUUUGAUAGCAUCCUCAUAUUUAAUAUAAAUGGAUUGGAGUUAGAACCAGUUCUAGGAAAUACUCUGGGAUUGGUAAGACUUCAGGUUAAUAAUGCAGAAGACCUUUUAGAAAAGUACCCUUGGAUUAAAAAAUACGGAGUAUUUAAACAAGUAUUUAGGAACAAAUAUUUCAUCAACUCGAAGAAUCUACACUUAAACGUGUUCGAAUCUAUAAUCGACAAAACCCGUGAACUUGUGAAUGAAAUGCUUCGAGAUACAGAAUAUUCUAUCGAUAGAAUUGCAAAACCACCAACAAUAAACAUUAGAAUAACCUUGAAUAAAGAAAAAGGUACACCCGAUUUAUACGACAAGUUGUCUAUCAUCACCUUGCAAAGUGAAUCGUUAAAAUCGAAGUCAUCUUUGGACAUAGAUAUUGUUCCAGCACUUCUUUUACGAAACGAUUCUGUUCCAGAUCCUAAUGCAAGGAGCGCAAAAAUGUCCUGUUCUGUAUAUGCCGUAAUGAAAUGGGUCAAUAUAAGCCAAGACACACAGAUGGCAAUGUACAAGGAUUUUUUGUGGAGAGUUUGCACAUCCGGAUACGAAAGGCACAUUCUAGACGUUUCCCAAACGAAUCACAGUUAGCAGUUCUUGGUGACGGCCUGUCGAAUCCUGAAAACAUACGUGUUUAACCAAGACGGCACCAAUCAGCUUCACACAGUUGCAGCUUCCAAUCACCUGAAAACAAUAUGUUUCCAUUGUAUAACAUUACUAACGAUACCAAAGGACCUUAACUCUUUAUCUGGGGUCAAGGAAGCAAUGGGUUAUUUUCUGUCGUUUUUGAACUUAUGUAUCAAUUCUGCAACGUUGCCACAUUUCUUCCAUGGAAAUCCUUGUUUAGUCCUCAUGUUCCCUGAAUGUAGUUUCGCGCAUGAGAACACAUCAAAAAUAUGUAUGGAUCAAUGAGUUCCGAGACGUUCAAUCAGGCUAAGGUUAGCUACAAGAAAAUGCUACGGGACCUGCUUGGCUUGUAUACUGAUAAUGCUCGUCUUGAUUCUGAUCGUUUAGAUCGAUUCACGAAACUACUAGACCUCCAACACAGCGUCAGAAAACCCAUUGAUGCGUACAAGUUUUAAAAUACUAGUAAUAUUUUUAUGCAACAAAUUGGUAAAUCAUAGAUGAGUGUAUAUCAAGUUGUUAUGUUUCAAAAAAGAAGGAUUAACAUUAUUGAAUAAUUGGAUUUCUUCGCCAUAUUGUGAACAAUAUUUAUUUGUCCUUUAAUGUUUAUAUAAGCACUAAUGAUUUUUACAUUGUUAUGGUGUGUGUUACUUACUGCCAUUUGUGUGUGUAUAUGUGUGAAUUUAUAGAUAAGGCUCUAGCAUGCCUAAUUGAUAAGAACUAAUAUCAGGAUCUAAGGGAUCAUGCGAUAUAUUUACAAAAACGUAUACCAAAACGUAAUACAUGUAAUUGGUUAACAGUAACGAAUUUAAUUACUUGUAUUGAACAAUUUCCGUAACAUCACUUUCAUUUUGAUAAAGAAACGAAAAAUCUAAUUACGCUCGUUUUUUUUAAAUGAUUCCUAACAUGUUUUUGAUGUAAUGCCAUUGUUUAUUGUUCGUGGAAUAUGUUUUCUUUUUAACUUUCUAUAUUUGUCAAAUUGAUUACCUUGGUCAAAAUUGGUUGUCAUCAUUUUGGAACUCGCUAUCACAUGUUUUGUUAAGUUUUAGCCAUAAUACCAGUACAUAAAAAAAAUUGAUCUCGAAUUCUAGAUUAUGCUUAUAGUUUCCGAGAAAAUUACCCCACCAUAAAAACCUAACAUUUGCCUCUGCGCAUAAAAAAAUGUCGAGGCCAUAUUUUCCUGUCAGACAAAACUAUAAAUAAAAUAUAUAUGUACACAUUACAAUCAUUGCAAAUAUGGCAAGUAUGGCUAACUUAUAUUUAUAUUUCUUUUUAAAUUUACUUAUCUGCAUAAACUAACAUUCACUAAUGAACAAAUGUUUUAUUAAUUACAAAUCGAACGUUAACAAAAACACUAAGGCUGGUCCAAACAUAUCUUGUCUUUAUAUCAAUCUUUAGAUUGAAUAUAUGAAAUUAUAGAAUCUGAAGCGAGAUGAUGUAUCAAAUAUUAUACGUUUUAAAGACAGAAAAGACACCUCAAACACGUCUGAACAUUAAAAUAUUUUAUAGAUUUUCUCUUUUUAAUAAAGUAAUUGCCCAAACAAACUGUCACCAGGGGCAAGGAUGUAAAUUAAAGCUUUACAAAGAUCAAUUUAGUAUCUUUCUUUCAAUUCUUUUCAGCGGAAUUUAUGCUUAUGCACAAAAAAGAUCCACUUGUAUUUGCACCUACCACAGUCGACUGGGUUUUUUUUUGUCAAUAAUUUAAAGGUUAACAAAUAUUUCGAAGCUCCAUACCAUGUUUUGGGUAAAAACACAUAAAUAAGAUGCAUAAAAUCCUAAAUUAUGUACAUUUAUUAAACUUUUAAAGCCCAUAGAAAAAGAUGUAACAAAUUCAAAUUUACCAACAUGGCCUUUUUCACCUUCUCCUAAAAGAGUUCUAUUUCAUAUGUUUAAUUUCAACAGGGUUUAGACAUGGCAUUUAACCAGUUAUGUUUUAUUGACGUGGCGUUGUCAAUGUACAUUGAUUUGGUCAACACUACAAACAUGGUCAACCAUGCACGCUUUUUGCUAUCCCUUUUCAAAAUUUGCAUCUUAAAAAUUUCUCUUUCUGUCCUAACAACAACAAUACCAGCAGACUGCCUUUUUUUACCACCCAUAACCAAAUCAAUAUACAGUGACAACGCCACGUCAAUAUAAUUUUAUAACGCAUUGUCAUUUUGCGAGAAACAUUUUGGGCCACAAUAAAAACUGAAGUUCAAGUCCUCGAAUGCCAUGGCAGACGGAUUCACGCAAUUAAUAUAUCAAUACAAAUAUAUAGCCACAAAUUAUCUGAUAAUCUAGGUUAAUACAAUACUACCAUCCUCGUAAAGUGACAUUAUCAAGCAAAACAUAAAGCCGAGGAAAAAAGGCUCAGGGAAAGUUAUACCGUAUUCAGUUAAAACAAAUUGUAGAGUGUUCUUCGAUUUGUCUUAUGUACACAUUAUACACUUUGAAAAUGUUUAAAUUCCAAUUGGUUUUUAUAAUAAUAUUUCCUAUAUCCAAAUAUGAAAUUUUGUUUGGUAUUUUGUGUUCUUUCAUUUAAGCCUUAAUUACAUUAACAUUUUCAUGAUUCAAUUAUAUAAACAAAAGUGUUGGCUUGCAAUAGACUAUUUUCAUAUUACCGACUUUUGACUCCGGAUUAUAUAAUUUGUCGACUGGUUACCUUGGACAUCAUGGUACUCGGUCAAGUAAGAGCAACCAAAAUAAGUAAAAUCAAACAUAUAAUUGGUGUAAUUUGAGGGGAAAGUUUACUGUUUUCCGAUGAUUUUGUAGUGAAAAAAAAAUGUUAAGCAAGUAAUUUUCCCCCAAAAUUGUACCGAUUGCAAGCUUGGUUUUCCUUCUUUAGCUUGCUCUUAUCUGACUUGGUACCAUGAUGUCCAAGGUAACCAGUCGACAAAUUAUAUUAUCCGGAGUCAAAAGUCGGUAAUAUGAAAAUAGUCUAUUGAAAAAUUCACAAAAUGAAUAUAAACAAAAUAAUUCAACAGGUUUCAAAUGCAGAGUAUUUUGUCAAUUUUCUACCUGUAUAAGAUAAUGUAAAACAAAAUGACAUAUUGAGUAUUUGUCAAUAAAACGGCAUUCAGGCAUUCUAAGUGAACUUAAAAAUAUCACAUAAUCCCUUGGUAAUAUUUUUUCAACUACAAUAUUCCAGUUCCUUUUUAGCAAUCCCGCGCUGAUCUGAAGGUUGAAAAUUAACAGAAUUAAUUUUGAUAUCUGCAAUUGAAAAUAUUGAAUUUCUCAGUGCUUUUCAAGUUUUGGUAAUUUGAUUGUUUGGGAACGUUAUGAAGUGAAAAUAAAUUGUUUUAAUUUU
Long non-coding RNA from Mytilus californianus (California mussel), 4393 nucleotides. RefSeq lists it as uncharacterized. The transcript is spliced from 2 exons. NCBI's taxonomy places the organism in Eukaryota, Metazoa, Mollusca, Bivalvia, Mytilida, Mytilidae. The record is from RefSeq and is a predicted model, not a curated record.